GAUGAACGCUGGCGGCGUGCCUAAUACAUGCAAGUCGAGCGAACGGACGAGAAGCUUGCUUCUCUGAUGUUAGCGGCGGACGGGUGAGUAACACGUGGAUAACCUACCUAUAAGACUGGGAUAACUUCGGGAAACCGUAGCUAAUACCGGAUAAUAUUUUGAACCGCAUGGUUCAAAAGUGAAAGACGGUCUUGCUGUCACUUAUAGAUGGAUCCGCGCUGCAUUAGCUAGUUGGUAAGGUAACGUCUUACCAAGGCAACGAUGCAUAGCCGACCUGAGAGGGUGAUCGGCCACACUGGAACUGAGACACGGUCCAGACUCCUACGGGAGGCAGCAGUAGGGAAUCUUCCGCAAUGGGCGAAAGCCUGACGGAGCAACGCCGCGUGAGUGAUGAAGGUCUUCGGAUCGUAAAACUCUGUUAUUAGGGAAGAACAUAUGUGUAAGUAACUGUGCACAUCUUGACGGUACCUAAUCAGAAAGCCACGGCUAACUACGUG
RNAcentral lists this ribosomal RNA (497 nucleotides) under uncultured bacterium. Its description in RNAcentral is "partial 16S ribosomal RNA". It matches the Rfam family "Bacterial small subunit ribosomal RNA", at positions 28 to 507 of the family's 1533-position model. The record is from RNAcentral.